This 253-nucleotide ribosomal RNA is filed under the name uncultured bacterium. RNAcentral's name for it is "partial 16S ribosomal RNA". It matches the Rfam family "Bacterial small subunit ribosomal RNA", at positions 524 to 776 of the family's 1533-position model. The record is from RNAcentral.
CACGUAGGGCGCGAGCGUUGUCCGGAAUUAUUGGGCGUAAAGAGCUCGUAGGCGGCCUGUUGCGUCCGCUGUGAAAGCCCGGGGCUUAACCCCGGGUCUGCAGUGGAUACGGGCAGGCUAGAGGUAGGUAGGGGAGAAUGGAAUUCCCGGUGUAGCGGUGAAAUGCGCAGAUAUCGGGAGGAACACCGGUGGCGAAGGCGACUUCCUGGCCUGUUCUUGACGCUGAGGCGCGAAAGCUAGGGUAGCAAACGGG